GAUGAACGCUGGCGGCGUGCCUAAUACAUGCAAGUCGAGCGAACAGACGAUGAGCUUGCUCCUCUGACGUUAGCGGCUGACGGGUGAGUAACACGUGGAUAACCUACCUAUAAGACUUGGAUAACUUCGUGAAACCGGAUCUAAUACCGGAUAAUAUAUUGAACCGCAUGGUUCAAUAGUGAAAGACGGUUUUGCUGUCACUUAUAGAUGGAUCCGCGCCGCAUUAGCUAGUUGGUAAGGUAACGGCUUACCAAGGCAACGAUGCGUAGCCGACCUGAGAGGGUGAUCGGCCACACUGGAACUGAGACACGGUCCAGACUCCUACGGGAGGCAGCAGUAGGGAAUAUUCCGCAAUGGGCGCAAGCCUGACGGAGCAACGCCGCGUGAGUGAUGAAGGUCUUCGGAUCGUAAAACUCUGUUAUUAGGGAAGAAAAAAUGUGUAAGUAACUAUGCACGUCUUGACGGUACCUAAACAGAAAGCCACGGCUAACUACGUG
This 497-nucleotide ribosomal RNA is filed under the name uncultured bacterium. Its description in RNAcentral is "partial 16S ribosomal RNA". It matches the Rfam family "Bacterial small subunit ribosomal RNA", at positions 28 to 507 of the family's 1533-position model. The record is from RNAcentral.